AGAAUCAACGCUGGCGGCGUGCCUCAGACAUGCAAGUCGAACGCGAAAGUUUCCUUCGGGAGGCGAGUAGAGUGGCGCACGGGUGAGUAACACGUAGGUAAUCUACCUUUGGAUGGGGAAUAACAACCGGAAACGGUUGCUAAUACCGCAUAAUGCAGCGGCACCUAAUGGUGACAGUUGUUAAAGCGGGGGAUCGAAAGACCUCGCGUCUGAAGAGGAGCCUGCGGCGGAUUAGCUAGUUGGUAAGGUAAUGGCUUACCAAGGCUACGAUCC
RNAcentral lists this ribosomal RNA (273 nucleotides) under uncultured soil bacterium. RNAcentral's name for it is "partial 16S ribosomal RNA". It matches the Rfam family "Bacterial small subunit ribosomal RNA", at positions 26 to 282 of the family's 1533-position model. The record is from RNAcentral.